This 459-nucleotide ribosomal RNA is filed under the name uncultured bacterium. RNAcentral describes it as "partial 16S ribosomal RNA". It matches the Rfam family "Bacterial small subunit ribosomal RNA", at positions 338 to 795 of the family's 1533-position model. The record is from RNAcentral.
CCUACGGGAGGCAGCAGUGAGGAAUAUUGGUCAAUGGGAGAGAUCCUGAACCAGCCAAGCCGCGUGAGGGAAGACGGCCCUAUGGGUUGUAAACCUCUUUUGUCGGAGAACAAAACCCGGGACGUGUCCCGGACUGCGUGUAUCCGAAGAAAAAGCAUCGGCUAACUCCGUGCCAGCAGCCGCGGUAAUACGGAGGAUGCGAGCGUUAUCCGGCUUUAUUGGGUUUAAAGGGUGCGUAGGCGGUCCGUUAAGUCAGCGGUAAAAUGGCGGGGCUCAACCCCGUCGAGCCGUUGAAACUGGCAGACUUGAGUUGGCGAGAAGUACGCGGAAUGCGCGGUGUAGCGGUGAAAUGCAUAGAUAUCGCGCAGAACUCCGAUUGCGAAGGCAGCGUACCGGCGCCAGACUGACGCUGAGGCACGAAAGCGUGGGGAUCGAACAGGAUUAGAUACCCCAGUAGUC